This is a non-coding RNA of Tetranychus urticae (two-spotted spider mite), 1142 nucleotides long. Lineage: Eukaryota; Metazoa; Arthropoda; Arachnida; Trombidiformes; Tetranychidae. The record is from RefSeq and is a predicted model, not a curated record.
UUGAAAAUCAAAAUACCUUAAUUAAUUUGGCACUCUCAAUUCCAUUUAGAGUAUUAAAGCUAAUGUCGACUUGAAUUUGUGUAUUUUUAUCGACAAGUUUUAUUAUUGGCACUGAUGCUUUGUCCAACACCUUGAUUGAAUCAGAUUCCACAAGACCAGCAUCGAGGAGAGCUUGUUGUUAGACUACGUUACUGGAUUUGUUUCCUAUCACAGUGCAACAACAUCAAAAUCAUCAAAAGUGUCAAAUGGAUUAAAUGACUUUCAACAAGUUGAUUCAGCAGAUCAAAAUUUAAAUUUUGUGUCCCAACAGCCAAAAGUUCAAGUUGAUACAUCACCUAAACUCAACGAACAACAUAUUCUUCUCCAACUAGCUAAUGUAAUUGCCAUUAGCUUAUUGGAAUAAGAUUAGAAAAAGACUCAAGAAUAGUAAAUCCAAUGUUUUGGGAGGAGGACCCAUUGUUAGUCAAGCCACUUAUACCUAUGGAUGGUACUCUAAAUGGGGCAACUACAAAGAUCGUUUACUCCAACCCUAUGUAAUUAAUUGUAAAGUACCAAGGAUAAAAGGUUUUCCCAAAAAAACUACACCCGACUCUAUUUCCUUGGUUGAAUCAAAGUGUCAAAAACCUAGAAAUAAUCUUCGCGUCUUCAACAAUUGACCCGAAGUUAAACAAGUUUUUUACUGUAUAAAUUGUAAAUUAGAAGUCUUUUGCUACUAACAAUCAAUAUUUGAGAUAAAACUUGGGUUUAUAUCAGUUUAAUUUUGGCGCUUCCUACAGCAUUCAAUAUCAAUAAGUCUGUUAGAGCCAUCUGGUGAAUAUAUAAGAGCUAUUGGCAAUUUCGUAUUGCUAGAAACGGGAUGUCGACCUUCUUUUUUUGUGUAUCGAAGAUGCCCUUGACUCAACAAAUGACAUCGGCCGAAGCUCAUAUGGUGCAGUUCAUGUACAAGAAGCCUUUGAAUACGCCUACCUCAGCCUGAAUAAAGCAUGUGGUCCAACAAGCUCUAUAGUAGAUCAGACCAAAAGUUUAAUACGGCGAAUAAUACGAGUCUCGGACGAAGUGGUCGAAAUGAGGCUCAGAGUCAAAGAAAAAUUUCCAUCGCCUCCCACUCCUCUCUCACUUCACCAUCACAAUAUAAAUCACAA